Molecule: ribosomal RNA, 472 nt
Filed under: uncultured bacterium
Lineage: Bacteria
Description: SSU rRNA
Rfam family: Bacterial small subunit ribosomal RNA
Source: RNAcentral
AGCUUGAACGCUGGCGGCGUGGCUAAGACAUGCAAGUCGAACGGGUGUAGCAAUACACCAGUGGCGGACGGGUGAGUAAUGUAUCGCUAACGUGCCCUAGAGCCAGGGAUAGCUGUCCGAAAGGACAGGUAAUACCUGAUGAUAUACCUUUGUCGCAUGACGAAGUUCUCAAAGCAGUAAUGCACUCUUGGAGCGGGCGAUAUCGUAUCAGCUAGUUGGUGAGGUAACGGCUCACCAAGGCGACGACGCGUAGCCGGACUGAGAGGUUGGCCGGCCACAUUGGGACUGAGACACUGCCCAGACUCCUACGGGGGGCUGCAGUAACGAAUCUUCCGCAAUGCACGAAAGUGUGACGGAGCGACGCCGCGUGUGGGACGAAGUUCUUCGGAAUGUAAACCACUGUCAGGGGUUAGAAAGUUCUGAUCAACCCCAGAGGAAGGCACGGCUAACUCUGUGCCAGCAGCCGCGGUAA